GCCUAACAUACAUUAAUUAUAUCCAUUAACUACUGUAAAAUUACACACAAAUGUAUUUGUAAUGUGAUACUGAUGACCGUUUGACUGGUUGCUGAAAUUGGGAAAUGUUGGACAUUAUACUUUAGAAUUUGUUAUAAAAGAAGUAUUGCUAAUGGGGAAAAUCCCAGCCGUGCUAAAUGUAAAAAAAACCUACCAGGAAGUUUAUAAUAAAGUCCUGUACAUAGUUUUUUGGUGUGUAAGUCUUACUGUCUGUCUGU
This is a non-coding RNA of Pelobates cultripes (western spadefoot toad), 257 nucleotides long. Lineage: Eukaryota; Metazoa; Chordata; Amphibia; Anura; Pelobatidae. The record is from the annotation of a GenBank genome assembly.